This 78-nucleotide microRNA precursor is filed under the name Schistosoma margrebowiei. RNAcentral describes it as "mir-3492 microRNA precursor family". It matches the Rfam family "mir-3492 microRNA precursor family". The record is from Rfam by way of RNAcentral. Lineage: Eukaryota; Metazoa; Platyhelminthes; Trematoda; Strigeidida; Schistosomatidae.
AGCUUUCUCAAUCCGUGCAGAGAUUUCGCCAGACACCAACUCAAUAGGACCGAUAAAACUCCCAAGAUAAUGUAAGUG